This 114-nucleotide ribosomal RNA is filed under the name uncultured bacterium. RNAcentral's name for it is "partial 16S ribosomal RNA". It matches the Rfam family "Bacterial small subunit ribosomal RNA", at positions 355 to 464 of the family's 1533-position model. The record is from RNAcentral.
UAGGGAAUUUUCGUCAAUGGGCGCAAGCCUGAACGAGCGAUGCCGCGUGAGUGAAGAAGGCCUUCGGUCGGUAAAGCUCUGUUGCGGGGGAAAAAAGGGACAGCAUCAGGAAAU